UUUUGGGUGGAUUUAGGUAUAUACAUGGAGAUUUAUAUAGAAGAAUGAUUAAGAGGAGGAGGAACGACACAUUCAAGAAGACUUUUAAGAUUAUCUUUGAUUGUUUAAAGGGUAAUGCAUGAACUCAGGGAUCAGAGAAGAGGAAAUGGAAGAAUGGAAAAAGAGAAUUGUAAAACUUAAACACCUUUGGGCCGAAUAUAAUUUUACGUAGCUCACACAAAAUGUCCAUUCUAUCUCAGCGCUUGUGACGUGGCAACAAAAUGUUUUUCUAUUGGUCGAUUUAAUUGAGGACGUGGACAGCCUCCCUACUCCUCAUAUAUCCCUUUUAGUAUA
This 333-nucleotide long non-coding RNA is filed under the name Brassica napus (rape). RNAcentral describes it as "long non-coding RNA (BNAP_LNC012110)". The record is from RNAcentral. Lineage: Eukaryota; Viridiplantae; Streptophyta; Magnoliopsida; Brassicales; Brassicaceae.